CUUUCCAUUGGAUAAGUCUCUGCUAAGCCUAUGUAGUCAUGUUCCAGUGGUACAGACAUCAAGGUGUUUCAACCAGUUUUGAGAGCUCAAGAUAUGACACUAGAAACUAAAGGAGUUGAGAGAGAGAGAGAGAGAGAGAGAGAGAGAGCGGUAGGGAAGGUAGGCGAGGAGGNNNNNNNNNNNNNNNNNNNNAAGUAGAGAGAGAGAGAGAGAGAGAGAGAGAGAGAGCGUAGGGGAAGUAGGCAGAGGAGUCUGGUUAAGUUCUAAAGAGCUGGUUAUGUUUGAUGCAGAGGAAGCUUCUUUUAGCCUUUCUGUAGCUGCGUUAUCAUUCUCUGCUUUUUUUUUCUUGCAUUUUUAUCAAAAACUCUUGAGCUUUUUCUUUAUUGCAGGUUUGCAGCAAUGAUGAAAGUAAGCAGUCAUGGUUUAACAAUUAAAAAGCUAUC
This 443-nucleotide long non-coding RNA is filed under the name Fragaria vesca (wild strawberry). RNAcentral describes it as "long non-coding RNA (FVES_LNC002892)". Lineage: Eukaryota; Viridiplantae; Streptophyta; Magnoliopsida; Rosales; Rosaceae. The record is from RNAcentral.